UGCCACCUCAUCGAAAAAAUUGCCUCUUCGUCGCUUGUCAUUCUGUAUUAUCAAUUUGGAUCCCCUGUCCAUCUACAACGCGAGUGCGUGGCCCAUCAUUUCGAUUUCCUAUUGCACAGAAAAAAUAAAUGCUACUCCCCUUCUCACGUUUUGUUUUUUCUCUCAACCUCUUCUCCAUUCUUCUUGCGAAACUCAAACCUCUUCUGCAUGAAAAAAGGAUCACACUUGCAUGUUGCACCUCGUUAGUUUCUAUCCUCUGGUGAGCAGUGCAGGGCGUN
Molecule: long non-coding RNA, 278 nt
Filed under: Hordeum vulgare
Lineage: Eukaryota; Viridiplantae; Streptophyta; Magnoliopsida; Poales; Poaceae
Description: long non-coding RNA (HVUL_LNC012914)
Source: RNAcentral